Molecule: non-coding RNA, 115 nt
Organism: Triticum aestivum (bread wheat)
Lineage: Eukaryota; Viridiplantae; Streptophyta; Magnoliopsida; Poales; Poaceae
Source: Rfam
GUAGUACUCAAUCCGUUCGGAAUUACUUGUCACAAAAAUGGAUGUAUCUACAACUAAAAUACAUCUAGAUACAUUCAUUUCUUGGACGAGUAAUUCCGAACGGAGGGAGUAUGUA